RNAcentral lists this ribosomal RNA (266 nucleotides) under uncultured Archaeospora. Its description in RNAcentral is "partial small subunit ribosomal RNA". It matches the Rfam family "Eukaryotic small subunit ribosomal RNA", at positions 605 to 877 of the family's 1831-position model. The record is from RNAcentral. Lineage: Eukaryota; Fungi; Glomeromycota; Glomeromycetes; Archaeosporales; Archaeosporaceae.
UAAAGUUGUUGCAGUUAAAAAGCUCGUAGUUGAAUUCUAGGCUUGACCGGGCGGUCCGUCUCUGGCGAGUACUGUCCUGUUGUCGGGUCUAUCCUUCUGGUGAGCCGGUAUGUCCUUAAUUGGGUGUGUCGGGGAACCAGGACCAUUACCUUGAAAAAAUUAGAGUGUUUAAAGCGGGCUUUUGCUUGAAUAGAUUAGCAUAGAAUAAUAGAAUAGGACGUUGGUUCUAUUUUGUUGGUCUAGGACCACCGUAAUGAUUAAUAGGG